MicroRNA precursor from Oryza rufipogon (brownbeard rice), 204 nucleotides. It matches the Rfam family "MIR812 microRNA precursor family". NCBI's taxonomy places the organism in Eukaryota, Viridiplantae, Streptophyta, Magnoliopsida, Poales, Poaceae. The record is from Rfam.
UUUAAGUGCAACCAUAAGUUUUCGCGCUUAACUUUGAUCGUCCGUUUUAUUUGAAAAAUUUUUAUAAUUAAUAUUUUUGUAGUUAUGAGAUGAUAAAACAUGAAUAGCACUUUACUCGUGACUUAUGUUUUCAAUUUUUUUUAAGAAAAUUUAAAUAAUACGGACGAUCAAAGUUGGACGUAAAAAAUCAUGGCUACACUGAAA